GGAAAAAAAUAAAACACUGGCAACAAGUGGGAGGUGCAGCUCCCACAGUCAGGCCUGAGUGGCUGGGCGCACUUUCUCCGGCAGAGCCGGAGAAGGCAGACACAGGGACCCGCAGCCAACCCACCCCCGCCUCCCGCCCGUCCCGCUUGCAGCCCCCGCACAAGCCGGGCAGCGCAGACGCGGAAACCCCAGGGCCGGCAGCCUAGCAUGCUCACUUACUGCUGCACUCGUCGUCUGCGCAGAGUUUGUUCUCUGAGAAGCGCCGGCCAGGGCUGGGGUCCGGCUGGCCCGGCACUCGCCACUGCGGCCUGAGCACGAACAGCCAGAAGAGCAGCCAAGGCGCCACAGCCAUGCUGUGGUCACCUCCAGGAGCCGGUAACGGGGAGGAGGGGGCGGGGGGCGGAGCGCCGCCCCUCGGCAGCACCCGGGAAGGUCUGAGCAGUUCUCAGCUGACAAAUCAGCAGGGACUUUAAGAGGGAUGCGAGGAAACACCAGAAGGACUGAGGGAGACCUCCAGGACUUCAGAUCAAAAAGGUGCAUCCAACAAACCGCUAUAGACCUGAUAUUGAUUAUAACAUCUUGGAUUUUGAACCUGAUCCUACAAUUGGAUAAGACUUUGAGGGAUCUUGAAAGGGUGAGUCUGUAUCUUACACAUGGAAAAGAUGUACACACUUCUGGCUAGAGGAUGUACCAUGAUUGAUUGCCAAAUUGGCCGUCGUUCUCCACCUUCCCUGUAUCUACAUCCUUUGCAUGUGACUCUGAGGACCCUCACAUCAUGAAGUCUGUUCUAUUCCCGCAGCCAUUGAAUGUGGGCUUGUCUUGUGCCUUGCUUUGGCCAAAAGAAUGUAGCAUAAGCGAGAUUUGCCAGUUCCAAUCCUCAGCCUUAAUGUCCACAAUUCUACUCUUGCACCUCUGCUUUGCCAGGAGAGUAAUCCUAGGAUACCUGGCUGGAGGGUGAGAAGCUAUGUGGACCACAGCCAAGCACCUACGGCCCCAGAUAUGUGAGAGAGCCCAGCUAAGAUCAGUAAAGCUAUCUUGCUGACCUGCUGCUGGCUGUCAGUCCAUGAACAAGCCCCCAGUGAGCCCAGAUAAGCAGAACUGCUCAGCCAACCAUAAUCUUGUUGGCAAAAAUACAUGUUUAUUAUUGUAUACCACUGAGGUUUUUUGGUGGUUCAUUAUGUAGCAUUAUUGUGGAAAUAACUAUACUUGAGUUAAAAUGCCUCAGCAGAAAUGAGGGGAACAUAUAUAGAAGUGGAUCUUGAGGGUGUUAUACUGGAGAAGAAGGGGCUAGGUAAGAAGAAUAUAAAUGCAGUUCAGGGAUAAUUCUCUGAUAUGGGACAACUCAUCUGUUCUUCAGGAUUCAAAGUUCCAGCAAGGAACAAUAGAUGAUGCUGAAAGCAUGCCAGCAUGGCUCUCUGGAGACUGAAUUUGACAAUAGCUGACAGUAAAUGAAGCUGAAGUGUGAGAAUUUCUCUGGCACUGAAUUAAAGGGAUUAUAAGCCUCAGAGAGGUAGAAAUGUUAUUUAGAACCUGAGAAACCACCAUAUUUCCACAUUCUCUUGGAGAACCCAAAAGACACUUUCCUUGCCAAGACAGUAAGGAAUAUACUGGUGAGAAGUUUAGCGGCAACUCUGCAAACCAGAACUGGUGGUAGGACAUACUGACAUGAAAUAAGAUUCCCAGGGGAGCUGGGGAGGGAUAGCAUGGGGAAAAAUGCCAGAUGUGGGUGAAGGGGAGGAAGGCAGCAAAUCACACUGCCACGUGUGUACCUAUGCAACUGUCUUGCAUGUUCUGCACAUGUACCACAAAACUAAAAUGCAAUAAAAAAAUAAAAUAAAAUAAAUAAGAUUCCCUAGUAUCCAUAAAGAAUAUGAAAUUUCAGAAUAGCAGAUCCCAGGUAGCAGCACUUAACCACUGAAGCAAGAUGGAUAUAAUUGUACCUUAAUGAUCAGCAAGCUCAGAGCAGCAGUCAAGUUCCAUAAGACAUAGGGAUUGGGAGUGAAAGUAAUAGAUCACAGUAUCCUUAGGGGCAAGUUUGAAGGACAACAUCUAAGACAUUGGAUAAUUUCUGGUCAAAUAACAGGAAAGAAUGAAGAGAUGAUAACCUGCAGGCUCAUAGCAGUUGUUCACAAUAAAAUAUCACAAUUGUUCACCCAGUGUCCUGAUCUAAAUCUCUUCACAGACCCAGAGAUAUAUUAUGAGGAAUUGGCUUCUGCCAUUGUAAAGGCUGAGAAGUCCCAUGAUCUGCUGUCUGCAAGUUGAAGACCCAAGUGGAUUGAGAAGAAAGUCAGGUCCCCUUGAGGAAGUACCCUGUAACCACUGCACAGAUAUGUUCUAUUUUUUCAUCCUUCCCCCAAGAAGAACUGAAAUUGUUUGACAGAGUAACUAUGCUGAACAAAGUGGAAAAGCCAGAAUUCUUUUAAGGGUGAGUAUACACUGAAUCUCAGCUGUUUUUGCUACCAGCUGCUUUGGGCACUAUGGUCUUCUGGUUAUAACAUAGGCUUAUGGAAGUCAGGUAAUAAAUGUAGUUCUGGCCCAAGUCUGUCUCACUGGGACUAUGAAAUUUUCAGCUGGCAGAAUCCUCACACUGGUUCCCUGACCUAGAGAGCAAGAGUAAUUACGGCAGGAAGAAUAACAUGAGAGCCCCUGAAACUGAAAGGCAGCAAAUCAGAAGUGAUAUUGAAUUAUUGGAGGGAUGACCAAGAUUAUCAUCACCAUGAAAAACCUUAAGGAUGCAAGAAUGAUGAGCCUCAUUAGGGCCUCAGUCAAUUCACCUAUCUGACUUCUGUAAAAAAGAGAUGGAUGGUGACAGAUAAUGAUGGACAGCCAUAAACAUAACUAGAUGAUAGCCCAAACCAUCGUGGCCAUGUUGAAUGCUGCAUCUUUACAGGAACAGUCAACACCAACUCUGUCACUUUGAAUGUAUUUGUCAAUGUGAUGAAAACUUAUCAACAGCCAAAAGCAAGGGUCAAAAUCAGUUUAUCUUUACAUAGCUUGUUUCAGAGUAAAGUUAAUUAUCCUGCACUCUGUGAUAAUAGAGUCUACAGGGAUCUUGAUCAUCUUGACACUUCACAGAACUUUGUCCUGACCCAGUACAUAUAUAAGGUUAUACCAACUGGACGUGGUUCACAGUAGAUGGUUGGCACAAAGAUGCUUUUGUAUAGAGCAUCUUUUUCAGGUAUCUCAAACUUUUCAGGUAUCAGAAUUCUCUUUACACACAAAAAUGACUAAAAACACCAAAGAUUUUCUGUUUCUGUGGGUAAAUAGCUACAUUAGAAAUUAAAUUAUUUUAAAAUUCUUUAGUUAUAAUAAACCCAGUACAUGUUAGUGUAAAUAAAUAUCUUAAGAACAAUGACCAUAUUCCCACACAAAAAAAAUUGUAAGAAAAUGUCAUUGUUUUACAUUAUUGCAAAUCUAUUUAAUAUCUGGCUUAAUAGAAAACAGCUAGAUUUCUC
Long non-coding RNA from Callithrix jacchus (white-tufted-ear marmoset), 3455 nucleotides. NCBI's taxonomy places the organism in Eukaryota, Metazoa, Chordata, Mammalia, Primates, Cebidae. The record is from Ensembl.